Molecule: long non-coding RNA, 704 nt
Filed under: Cyanistes caeruleus (blue tit)
Lineage: Eukaryota; Metazoa; Chordata; Aves; Passeriformes; Paridae
Description: lncRNA (ENSCCEG00000013868.1)
Source: RNAcentral
GGGAGAGGAAACCAGGAGAACUCAGUGGGUCACGAGGCUGAUGAAGCUUUUUAAUCAAAUAUUUUGGCUAUCACAAGAAUUUUAAUCACCCAGUUAGGAAAAUUUGGGGGUUUUUUUUUGCUGCCUGGAGCCUGUGGGGCUGGAGCAGGGCUGGAGAGCUCCGGGCCCAUCCAGCAGCAGAGGGUGCUCACGCACUGCUGUGCAAAUCCUCCUUCUCCCUCAGCCAUUUUAGGGAAUUAUUUCCUUUCCCUGCAGUCUCCAUUUUAUGUUCCUGACGCAGAAAAUAAAAAAGUGUCUGCUGAGAACUUGAAGAAAAUCUUACACGGGGCUGUGAUGCUGAAUCCUCUAUUCCAACCACACACGUUUCACAUUUAUUUCAAAUGUGGUUUAAAAGGGAGGAGGGGGAGAGGCCAUAAAUAUUCUCUCCCAGUGCUGUUUCCUGAGCCUGGGAAUACCCAAAGGAAUGGGAUGGGCUCUGUGGGACAGACCUGAGCAGCCCCAAAUGGGUGAGUAAAUCCUCCUCUGGCAGGCAAAGUUUUGGGGAGCAGAGAGGACCUGGCCUCGCUCCUGGCACUGCCCAUAUUUUAAUAUUUUAAUAUUUUCAUAUUUUCAUAUUUUCAUAUUUUCAUAUUUUCAUAUUUUCAUAUUUUCAUAUUUCAUAUAUUUCCACUUUCCUCCGUGUGUGCUCAGGGACAGGGAUUAGA